GAUAAAUCUUCAUCUACGCCAAUAAAAGGGUUUGAGGCUGAUCUAGUUUUAAAAGAUCACACACCGGUGUUUAAGCGUGCUUAUGACGUUCCAUUCAGAUUAAAAGAUAAAGUUUUAGAACAUUUAAGUAGUUUAGAAAAAGAUGGCGUCAUAACACCAAUAGAUGCAAGUGAAUGGGCAUCUCCGGUAAUAGUUGUGGUGAAAAAAGACAAUGGUAUUAGGAUGGUCAUUGAUUGUAAAGUUUCAAUCAACAAAGUUUUGAUCCCUAAUACAUAUCCGUUACCAUUAACUCAGGUUUUGUUUGCCUCGUUGGCUGGCGCUAAAGUUUUCUGUUCUCUUGAUCUGGCUGGCGCGUAUACACAGUUAUUAUUAUCUAAAAGUCUAGGAAAAUAAUGGUGAUAAAUACAAUCAAAGGUUUGUUUACGUAUAAUCGUUUGCCACAAGGUGCUUCUUCUAGUGCAGCUAUAUUCCAACGGAUCAUGGAUCAAGUUUUGAAAAAUAUCGACGGAGUUUACGUUUACUUAGAUGAUGUUUUGAUAGCAGGCAAGGACAAAGAAGACUGUGCGCGAAAGCUUAAUGUGGUUUUAGAACGUUUGUCUAAAGCCAACAUUAAAGUCAAUUUGCAGAAAUGCAAGUGGUUUGUUUCGAGUUUGCCGUUUCUAGGACAUGUUUUGAGCGACAGAGGAUUGUUGCCUAGUCCAGAAAAGGUCGAGACUAUUCGGAGAGCUAGUAUUCCGAAUAACGUCUCUGAGCUUAAGGCAUUUUUGGGUUUAGUGAAUUACUAUGGUAAAUUUCUACCCAAUUUGUCCGCACGCCUUAGCUGUCUGUAUCGUUUAUUAAAGAAAGACGUUAAGUUUGUCUGGAAUGCUGAGUGUAGUCGAGUGUUUGAAAGCUGUAAGCAAGCGUUGUUGAGCUCAAAGCUUUUAGAGUUUUAUGAUCCGAAUAAGCCUGUUGUCGUUGUAACAGAUGCUUGUAGUUAUGGGUUAGGUGGAGUAAUAGCACAUCAAAUCAAUGGAGAAGAGAGGCCCAUUAGUUUCCUACCCAAUUUUGCACUUAGAAGCUUUAGCAGUUGUGAGCACCUUUCUUGUUUGGAAAGAAGUUUACUGUGUAUACUGAUCAUAAGCCGUUGAUUGGCAUUUUCGGUAAAGAAGGCAAGAAUACUUUUUUUGUGACGCGUUUACAAAGAUAUGUACUUGAACUGAGUAUUUACGAUUUCGACAUUGUUCAUAGACCGUCAACAAAAAUGGGCAACGCAGAUUUUUGCUCAAGGUUUCCUUUGCCAGAAAAUGUACCAGCUUCUUUACAAAGAGAGUUUAUCAAGAGAUUAAAUGUUUCGAAUGAGUUUCCGAUAGAUUAUGCUUUGAUUGCAAUUGAGACAAAGAAAGACAAGUUUUUGCAACAAAUAGUUUAUUACAUGAAGCAUGGUUGGCCGCAGAAGUUGGAUCGAAUGUUUUUGGAUGUUUAUGCACAGCACCAAGAUUUAGAACAAGUAGAAGAAUGUUUACUGUAUCAGGAUCGUGUCAUUAUACCUGCAAGUUUACAAAAACAGAUCCUGAAAUUGUUACAUAAAAGCCAUUCCGGAAUAACCAAAAUUAAGCAAAUGGCAAGAAGGACAGUUUAUUGGUACGGCAUGAAUAGUGACAUUGAAAGUUUCGUCAAAUCAUGCAGAGUGUGUUGCCAAAUGAAUGUUGUUCCGAAGCAAGCUCCGUACUCUAACUGGAUUCCAACAACAAAACCGUUUACCCGCAUUCAUGCGGACUUCUUUCAUUUCGACAAAAAAGUUUUUCUGGUCAUUGUUGACAGUUUUUCAAAAUGGCUCGAGGUUGAGUACAUGAAGUUUAGUACUGAUGCCAGGAGUGUCAAGUCGAAGUUUAUCAGCGUUUUUCCAAGGUUUGGGUUACCGGACGUAGUAGUUACGGACGGCGGACCACCGUUUAAUCGACGACACGACCUGCCACUCGUCUAUCAAAACUGUAUCGUAAAUUUAACUACCCCUCAGUAACUGGAAAUGUCAAAUCGAAAACGCUAGUGAAUUUUUUUAAACUGGCAGCACAAGUUGAUAUAUUUAUUGAUUUUGAAUAACAGUCACCAUAACCUUGGUUACUGCAUAUCGAAGGCAAGAUGAAUGUAAACAAAAUAAAUUUCAGAUCGGUUAUGAUAUUACGGAACAUUUUAAUGGAUUUACCUGACUCGAGCGGAAUGUAAAAAUUGAGGAGUAUGAGUUAUGUCUUUUAUAAAGCCAAGUUCAAAAUUCAGGUCUUGACUUGAAACCGUUGUGUGAGAAGGAAGACAUGGAAAUAACCGACAACGAGCUGAGCGAGGCUAGUUCUCUGCGGUACCUGCAUAACGUACGGUAAAAUGAUUUCUUUGUGGAAUUCCACUAGUAAUCCUCGAAUAGUGGCCAACAAGGUGAAAUACUGUUUCCACUGCUGCGCAAUCAAUCAACAAUUUUGACACCGGCAUAUUACACCGAAUCCUAUUGCCCAGAAAAGCUAGCGGUUGAAGUGUACGGAUGAAUCGCUGGAAGCAGAUCAUAGUCCUCGUUCGUUGGUUUCAGCCAUAGUUUCGAUUAAAUUCUGAAAAUCGAGUUCAUUUAAAUGCAUUUCUGCUUAAUUUGGACAAAGUUUAACCGACGACACGACCUGCCACUCGACUAUUAAAACUGUAUCGCAAAUUUAACUACCCCUCAGUAACUGGUAAUGUCAAAACGAAAUCGCUUGAAAAAAUGUUGGAACUGGCAACACAAGUUGGUAAAUUAUUGAUUUUGAAAAACAGUUACCAGUAGCCUUGGUAACUACAUAAGAAAUGUAAACAAAAACAAGAGAUUCUCACUUAAAACGAAACCACUGAGUGUAGUUGGCCCGCUGGCAGAACAUUUUCGUCGCUGCCACAGAGAGGAAGGCUUUCAUCAUUUCAUAUUCAUAGCUAGAAAGUUGUAUUGUCGGGUGGUAGUGAAUGAUUUGCCUAUGGGUACAUUUACAGCGCGCAACUGUGUUUGGAACUCAAAAUAAUGCGAAUUAGGAACAUAAAAAAAUUGUUUUAUGCAACUAUUGUAAACAAUGUUUUUUAUUGAAAACAGUUUACUCGUAGUAAAAGGACAUACAAACGAAAAUAAAAAUAACAUGAUAUUGAAAGAAUCGGUUGUCUUUUUCUGACAAAAUCAAAAUGAAAAUAAUUAUUUAAAAGCAAAAGUUAUUAAAGCAUGAAAUAAAAAUACAUAUAUUUUGAAAAUAAUUCAAGAAUAUCUUAAUUUUUUUUUACCACUAGCGUUUUUGAGAAGUCGAAAGUGUUUCUCACUGCAAUUUAUUGUUAAUUUCGUUUGGUAUUCCGUGGACAUGUCUUACGACCGUCAGAAAUGAAGUGAACAAUCAACUAAAUUAUGUAUAUCCAAACUAUUUAUCUACCAUCUGGUUUAAAUUUACAUAUUACUGUUCGUAGGAAACGAAUAGAAAGAUACUGGAUCUCCUUCACGACUGAAACACACAGCAACGCAACAACGUCUUCCCAUUAUCGAAAAUAUUUUCCUGACCUAUCAAAACUAAUCAUUGCAUGCUGCCACUGUAAUUCUCUAUGACUAACAAAAUACAUAUUUAAAAAUGAAAGAAAAAAAAACAUGGUAACUAUCACAUAGCAAUUAGUCAACAAACUAGAAGAUUAUGCUACAAAAAGAAUUAUGAAUAUUCGGACUUCUGUGUAUAAUAUAACAAGAUCAUUGUAUAAUUUAGAAAAUGUAAAUAUAUUUUCUACAUAGAUACGGUAAUUACGGUAUACGAUCAAAACCUACGUAGUAAUUAUUAAUUGUAUAUAAUAAGAAAAACAGUGGAAGUAAUCAUCUUAAAACCGCUUUAGUUUCCGUGCAAAAUGUCGCAUUUCCUCACUCUGGCUGGUUUGGUAACCGUGGAACUGCAGGAUAAUGACUUGUUAAACUGCUCUAUUUGUUUGCCCAUGUCCAGAAGCAUUUUCGAAGUCGGCGAAAGAAUGUUAACUGCAAAUAGAAAAUUUUUAUUUAAUAAUAAAAUUCAAGCACUCACCUGCACUCAGCUUCAUCAUAAUUUGCAUCGAUGAUGAUUAAAAUUAUUUAGUUGCUCUCCGGAAUUCACUAAAUAACCGGAAAAGACACAAAAAUAAAGACGGUGGAAUUAUUCCACAACAAUUUUAAACUGUUUGUUUAUUUAUUCUGGUGCUCCUUGGUAACUAGUUCAUAGCAACCUAAACAGUGUUGCUCGAAAAGUUAGUUUUUGUCAUUUUCAAGGGGUCGCUAUAUUUAUGGUAACUGGUGGUAAAUCGCUCACGAACACUUUUUAUUCCGAUUUUUCUUCGGAGUGUCUGGUCGUGUCGUCGGUUUAACACUAAUAGAACUAUUCCACCGCUUUCAAAACAUGUUUAUUUGUUUUGGAGUUCCUUGGUAACUAGUCCAUAGCAACUUAAACAGUGUUGCUCGAGAAGAUUAUUUUUAUCAUUUACAAGGGGUCGCUAGAUUUGUGGUAACUGACCGUGAAUCGUUAGCGAACAGUUUUAUUGCUGAAUUUUCUUCGGAGUGUCUGGUCGUGUCGUCGGUUUAAUUCCAAAGAAUUUAUUGAUUUUUUACAGAAACACAACAUAAAGGCGAUGAAGAGUCCACCGUAUAAUCCAUCGAGCAAUGGACAAGCAGAACGUAUGGUUUCCGUUGGAGGUCGGGUGUAUCUGGCGCACCGCAAUCAACUCAAGGUGUUUGGCACUAACAAGAAAAGGUAUGGUUUGUUUUUUGCGAGGGGAAAGGAGAGCAGUCCAGCACGUAAACGAAGUAGAGAAGACGAUAACGACGAGAGCUUUGACGACGAUGCUAGCGACUUUCUCGGUUUCGCAGCGGAUUCGUUUAUUUACCGAGACACACCUGACGAUCAACCAAUGGUUUGUGAUUCGGAUGGUGGUGGUUCGGGUAGCAGUAGUUUACCGCUUGAGGAGGUUGAUCCUCAAGAAGGCACGUCUACGCGACAGUGGUCGCGAUCGAAACAAACGAGUUCGGCGGAAAGUUCGAGUCAUCAGUCCGUCAGUUUACGUCGUUCGAGGAGAUCGAAGCGUCCUCGGAAAGAUCCCGAUUUCGUGUUUUAU
Molecule: RNA transcript, 5091 nt
Organism: Malaya genurostris
Lineage: Eukaryota; Metazoa; Arthropoda; Insecta; Diptera; Culicidae
Exons: 3
Source: RefSeq, a predicted model, not a curated record